RNAcentral lists this ribosomal RNA (253 nucleotides) under uncultured bacterium. RNAcentral's name for it is "partial 16S ribosomal RNA". It matches the Rfam family "Bacterial small subunit ribosomal RNA", at positions 524 to 776 of the family's 1533-position model. The record is from RNAcentral.
UACGUAGGGGGCAAGCGUUGUCCGGAUUUAUUGGGCGUAAAGAGCGUGUAGGCGGCUGGGUAGGUCCGUUGUGAAAACUCGAGGCUCAACCUCGAGACGCCGAUGGAAACCCUCCAGCUAGAGUCCGGAAGAGGAGAGUGGAAUUCCUGGUGUAGCGGUGAAAUGCGCAGAUAUCAGGAAGAACACCCGUGGCUAAGGCGGCCCUCUGGACCGUAACUGACGCUGAGGCGCGAAAGCGUGGGGAGCAAACAGG